Long non-coding RNA from Triticum dicoccoides, 253 nucleotides. RefSeq lists it as uncharacterized. NCBI's taxonomy places the organism in Eukaryota, Viridiplantae, Streptophyta, Magnoliopsida, Poales, Poaceae. The record is from RefSeq and is a predicted model, not a curated record. The transcript has 3 exons.
GUUCGCCGGAGGAAGAAGCGCCGAGUUUGCCGGAGGAAAAAGAACGUCUGUCGAGCCGUGCAUUGUCUCCUGUGGCGGCUACACAAGAGGCCCUUAAGAUGAGUGAUGAACAUCUGUCGAGCCGUCCAAUGUUGUAUAUGGCAGCUACACCAGAGCCGUUGUCUCCUUAGACCUCACCGCCAUCGUCUCCGCCGACUUCGCCGCAAGACAAUCUGCCAUCGCCUCCGCUGACUUUGCCGGAAGACCAUCAACC